This is a non-coding RNA of Bos taurus (domestic cattle), 72 nucleotides long. NCBI's taxonomy places the organism in Eukaryota, Metazoa, Chordata, Mammalia, Artiodactyla, Bovidae. The record is from Rfam.
UCCCUAGUGGCUCAGAUGGUAAAGCAUCUGCCUGCAAUGCAGGAGACCUAGAUUUGAUUCCUGGGUCGGGAA